This 294-nucleotide ribosomal RNA is filed under the name uncultured bacterium. RNAcentral describes it as "partial 16S ribosomal RNA". It matches the Rfam family "Bacterial small subunit ribosomal RNA", at positions 1084 to 1382 of the family's 1533-position model. The record is from RNAcentral.
GUCCGCACGAGCGCACCCUUGUCCUUAGUUGCCAGCACUUUUUGUGGGACUCUUGGGAAACUGCCGGUGACAAACCGGAAGAAGGGGGGGACGAACUCAAGUCCUCCUGGCCCUUACGGGCAGGGCUACCCCCGUGCUACAAUGGGGCAUACAAAAGGUUGCCAACCCGUGAAGUGAAACUAAUCCGAAAAAAUGCAUCCUAAUCCGGAUUGGAAUCUGCAACUCCACUCCCUGAAAUCCGAAUCCCUAGUAAUCCUGAAUCAAAAUGUCACGGUGAAUACGUUCCCGGGCCUU